GUCCACGCCGUAACGAUGUCUACUAGCCGUUGGGUUCCUUGAGGACUUAGUGGCGCAGCUAACGCAAUAAGUAGACCGCCUGGGGAGUACGGUCGCAAGAUUAAACUCAAAUGAAUUGACGGGGCCCGCACAAGCGGUGGAGCAUGUGGUUUAAUUCGACGCAACGCGAAGAACCUUACCAGGUCUUGACAUCCAGAGAACUUUCCAGAGAAUGGAUUGGUGCCUUCGGAACUCUGAGACAGGUGCUGCAUGGCUGUCGU
This 260-nucleotide ribosomal RNA is filed under the name uncultured bacterium. Its description in RNAcentral is "partial 16S ribosomal RNA". It matches the Rfam family "Bacterial small subunit ribosomal RNA", at positions 793 to 1055 of the family's 1533-position model. The record is from RNAcentral.